AUUGAACGCUGGCGGCAGGCCUAACACAUGCAAGUCGAGCGGAUGAAGGGAGCUUGCUCCUGGUUUCAGCGGCGGACGGGUGAGUAAUGCCUAGGAAUCUGCCUGGUAGUGGGGUAUAACGUCCGGAAACGGGCGCUAAUACCGCAUACGUCCUGAGGUAGAAAGUGGGGGUUCUUCGGACCUCCCGCUAUCUGAUGAGCCUAGGUCGGAUUAGCUAGUUGGUGGGGUAAAGGCCUACCAAGGCGACGAUCCGUAACUGGUCUGAGAGGAUGAUCAGUCACACUGGAACUGAGACACGGUCCAGACUCCUACGGGAGGCAGCAGUGGGGAAUAUUGGACAAUGGGCGAAAGCCUGAUCCAGCCAUGCCGCGUGUGUGAAGAAGGUCUUCGGAUUGUAAAGCACUUUAAGUUGGGAGGAAGGGCAGUAAGUUAAUACCUUGCUGUUUUGACGUUACCAACAGAAUAAGCACCGGCUAACUUCGUG
This 484-nucleotide ribosomal RNA is filed under the name uncultured bacterium. RNAcentral's name for it is "partial 16S ribosomal RNA". It matches the Rfam family "Bacterial small subunit ribosomal RNA", at positions 30 to 507 of the family's 1533-position model. The record is from RNAcentral.